CCUACGGGGGGCAGCAGUGGGGAAUAUUGCGCAAUGGGCGAAAGCCUGACGCAGCCACGCCGCGUGAGCGAUGAAGGUUCUAGGAUCGUAAAGCUCUGUGGAGAGAGAAGAAGCCUGACGGUAUCUCUUUAGCAAGCACCGGCUAACUCCGUGCCAGCAGCCGCGGUAAUACGGAGGGUGCGAACGUUGCUCGGAAUCAUUGGGCGUAAAGCGCACGUAGGCGGCUGCGCAAGUUGGAUGUGAAAGCCCAGGGCUCAACCUUGGAAGUGCAUCCAAAACUGCGCAGCUUGAGUCCCGGAGGGGCCCAGAGAAUUCUCGGUGUAGAGGUGAAAUUCGUAGAUAUCGGGAGGAAUACCAGUGGCGAAAGCGCUCUGCUGGGCCACAACUGACGCUGAUGGACGAAAGCUAGGGGAGCGAAAGGGAUUAGAUACCCCUGUAGUCCUAGCCGUAAACGAUGAACACUAGGUGUUGUCUGUAUCGACCCGGACAGUGCCGUAGCUAACGCGUUAAGUGUUCCGCCUGGGGAGUACGCACGCAAGUGUGAAACUCAAAGGAAUUGACGGGGGCCCGCACAAGCGGUGGAGUAUGUGGUUUAAUUCGAUGCAACGCGAAGAACCUUACCAGGACUUGACAUCCCUUGAACUUACUAGAAAUAGUUUGGUGCCUUCGGGAGCAAGGAGACAGGUGGUGCAUGGCUGUCGUCAGCUCGUGUCGUGAGAUGUUGGGUUAAGUCCCGCAACGAGCGCAACCCACGUUUUUAGUUGCCAUCAUUAAGUUGGGCACUCUAGAGAGACUGCCGGUGACAAACCGGAGGAAGGUGUGGACGACGUCAAGUCAUCAUGCCCCUUACGUUCUGGGCUACACACGUACUACAAUGCUUCGGACAGAGGGCAGCGAGCCAGCGAUGGUAAGCUAAUCCCAUAAACCGAGGCUCAGUUCAGAUUGCAGGCUGCAACUCGCCUGCAUGAAGGAGGAAUCGCUAGUAAUCGCAGGUCAGCAUACUGCGGUGAAUACGUUCCCGGGCCUUGUACACACCGCCCGUC
Molecule: ribosomal RNA, 1043 nt
Filed under: uncultured cyanobacterium
Lineage: Bacteria; Bacillati; Cyanobacteriota
Description: bacterial SSU rRNA
Rfam family: Bacterial small subunit ribosomal RNA
Source: RNAcentral